This 481-nucleotide ribosomal RNA is filed under the name uncultured bacterium. Its description in RNAcentral is "bacterial SSU rRNA". It matches the Rfam family "Bacterial small subunit ribosomal RNA", at positions 28 to 499 of the family's 1533-position model. The record is from RNAcentral.
GAUGAACGCUAGCUACAGGCUUAACACAUGCAAGUCGAGGGGCAGCAUGAACUUAGCUUGCUAAGUUUGAUGGCGACCGGCGCACGGGUGAGUAACACGUAUCCAACCUGCCGAUGACUCGGGGAUAGCCUUUCGAAAGAAAGAUUAAUACCCGAUGGCAUAAUUCUUCCGCAUGGUAGAACUAUUAAAGAAUUUCGGUCAUCGAUGGGGAUGCGUUCCAUUAGGUUGUUGGCGGGGUAACGGCCCACCAAGCCUUCGAUGGAUAGGGGUUCUGAGAGGAAGGUCCCCCACAUUGGAACUGAGACACGGUCCAAACUCCUACGGGAGGCAGCAGUGAGGAAUAUUGGUCAAUGGACGAGAGUCUGAACCAGCCAAGUAGCGUGAAGGAUGACUGCCCUAUGGGUUGUAAACUUCUUUUAUACGGGAAUAAAGUGAGGCACGUGUGCCUUUUUGUAUGUACCGUAUGAAUAAGGAUCGGCUA